GUUUAUCAGAACAGUUAAAAACAAAUAGUGGCAUCACCAAAUGCUGUUGAGGAUGUAAGGAAAUUGCUCUCAUGCAUUGCUAGUGGAAAUGUAACAUGGUACAACCACUCUGAAAAGAGUUUUACAGUUUCUUAUGAAACUAAACAUUCUACUGUUGUAUGACCUAGCAAUUGCACUCUUGAUGUAUUUUCCUAGAGAAAUGAAAGGUUUACACAAAAAAUUAGACACAAAUGUUUAUAACAGCUUUAUUUGUAAGAGCCACAAACUGGAACAAUAGCCACAAGUAGAAACAACCCUUGAUGUCCUUUGGUGCUUGAAUGGUUAAGUAAACCAUUGUAUAUCCAUAUGAUGGAGUACUAUUCAGCCGUAAAAGUAAAUGACCCAUUGAUACAGCACCUUGGAUGAUUCUUGAGAAAAUUAUGCUAAGUGAGAAAAGCCAAUCCCAGAAGGUUACAAAAGGUAACAAAGUGUUAUAUAAAUUGUUCAACUUGUUACGUAUGUGAUUCUACUCAUAAAACACUCUUAAAAUGACAAAAUUAUAGAAAUGGAGGACAGAUUAGUGGCUCUCAGGGGUGAGGGAUUAGGCAGAGGGAUGGUGAGGGGAGGACAGAUGUGGCUAUAAAAGGGCAUUAUGAGAGAACUUUGUGCUGAUGGGAACACUCCUUACCUUGACAGUAUCAGUGUCAAUGUCCUGCUUGGGAUAUUAUACUAUGGUUUUACAAGAUCUUCCCACUGGGGGAAACUGGGUAAAGGGUACAGAGGAUCCCUCUGUAUUAUUUCUUGAAAUUGCAUAUUAGUUAACAAUUAUCUCAAAAGUUUAGUUUUGAAAAUCAUAAUGUAUGUCCCUUUCAUUUUACUGAAAUAAAUAUUCAGAGCACUUAAUAACACAUUUUAUAGUCCAGCUCAUCUCUAUGGGAUGGUCACCCAUGAUAAUAAGAAAAGAACCUUUGAAAGUUGUAUUUUCAGAAGCAAAAAUACCGACAAUACUAGGUUAUUUACCUAGUCUCACUUGGAUUUUAAUGAGCUUGAAAAAUGCACCUGUUGUAUUAGAUGUAAUUUUUCCUUCUUUUUUUUUUCCAGCCUUUUUCUCAUUGUUCUCGUCAUAUCAGACAUUAUGGCUUUGCAUUUUUUCUUCUUGGUCAAGGAUUAUGGCAGCUGGCUUGAUAUUGGGACAAGAAAACUUCCUUCA
RNAcentral lists this small RNA (1189 nucleotides) under Pongo abelii (Sumatran orangutan). Its description in RNAcentral is "retained intron". The record is from RNAcentral. Lineage: Eukaryota; Metazoa; Chordata; Mammalia; Primates; Hominidae.